UACGUAGGGGGCUAGCGUUGUCCGGAUUUAUUGGGCGUAAAGAGCGUGUAGGCGGCCAUGUAGGUCCGGUGUGAAAACUCGAGGCUUAACCUCGAGAUGUCAUCGGAAACCAUUUGGCUAGAGUCCGGAAGAGGAGAGUGGAAUUCCUGGUGUAGCGGUGAAAUGCGCAGAUAUCAGGAAGAACACCAGUGGCGAAAGCAGCUCUCUGGGACGGUACUGACGCUGAGACGCGAAAGCGUGGGGAGCGAACAGG
RNAcentral lists this ribosomal RNA (253 nucleotides) under uncultured bacterium. RNAcentral's name for it is "partial 16S ribosomal RNA". It matches the Rfam family "Bacterial small subunit ribosomal RNA", at positions 524 to 776 of the family's 1533-position model. The record is from RNAcentral.